GAACGCACAUUGCGCCUUCUGGUAUUCCGGAAGGCAUGCUUGUUUGAGUAUCAGUAACAACCUCAGCCAAGCUCUCUCGCUUCUGGCGCAGAAAGCAAAAGCUGGAUUUGAGCAAAGUCCCUUGGGAUCAAUUCGACAACCUUCGGGGAGCCAAUUGAGCCGUGGGGGAUGCUUGAAAUACAGGUUCGGACUGACCAAAUGUCCUGGGCUACAAGCAUUUCAUACUUGAUCCCGUUAAACGGAUCAUUUCCAUUGCUGCAGCCAACACAAACAGGAUCAAUCGUGUCCAGUAUCCCGACUGAUGCAGGAAGUUGGAACAACAGAGCGAUCUGUGGUUCUUUCUAAACUCGAUCUCAAAUCAAGUAAGACUACCCGCUGAACUUAAG
RNAcentral lists this unclassified non-coding RNA (386 nucleotides) under uncultured Mortierella. Its description in RNAcentral is "sequence contains 5.8S rRNA gene". The stretch from base 1 to 53 matches the Rfam family "5.8S ribosomal RNA", at positions 102 to 154 of the family's 154-position model. Lineage: Eukaryota; Fungi; Mortierellomycota; Mortierellomycetes; Mortierellales; Mortierellaceae. The record is from RNAcentral.